This 464-nucleotide ribosomal RNA is filed under the name uncultured bacterium. Its description in RNAcentral is "bacterial SSU rRNA". It matches the Rfam family "Bacterial small subunit ribosomal RNA", at positions 338 to 795 of the family's 1533-position model. The record is from RNAcentral.
CCUACGGGAGGCAGCAGUCGAGAAUUUUUCUCAAUGGGCGAAAGCCUGAAGGAGCGACGCCGCGUGGGGGAUGAAUGGCUUCGGCCCGUAAACCCCUGUCAUUUGCGAACAAAUUGUUUCACCUAACACGUGAAGCAUUGAUAGUAGCGGAAGAGGAAGGGACGGCUAACUCUGUGCCAGCAGCCGCGGUAAUACAGAGGUCCCAAGCGUUGUUCGGAUUCACUGGGCGUAAAGGGUGCGUAGGUGGUCGGGUAAGUCUGUUGUGAAAUCUCCGAGCUUAACUCGGAAAUGGCAGUGGAUACUAUCCGGCUUGAGGAAUGGAGGGGAGACUGGAAUACUUGGUGUAGCAGUGAAAUGCGUAGAUAUCAAGUGGAACACCAGUGGCGAAGGCGAGUCUCUGGACAUUUCCUGACGCUGAGGCACGAAAGCCAGGGGAGCAAACGGGAUUAGAUACCCCUGUAGUC